Molecule: ribosomal RNA, 497 nt
Filed under: uncultured bacterium
Lineage: Bacteria
Description: partial 16S ribosomal RNA
Rfam family: Bacterial small subunit ribosomal RNA
Source: RNAcentral
GAUGAACGCUGGCGGCGUGCCUAAUACAUGCAAGUCGAGCGAACAGACGAGGAGCUUGCUCCUCUGACGUUAGCGGCGGACGGGUGAGUAACACGUGGAUAACCUACCUAUAAGACUGGGAUAACUUCGGGAAACCGGAGCUAAUACCGGAUAAUAUAUUGAACCGCAUGGUUCUAUAGUGAAAGACGGUUUUGCUAUCACUUAUAGAUGGAUCCGCGCCGCAUUAGCUAGUUGGUAAGGUAACGGCUUACCAAGGCAACGAUGCGUAGCCGACCUGAGAGGGUGAUCGGCCACACUGGAACUGAGACACGGUCCAGACUCCUACGGGAGGCAGCAGUAGGGAAUCUUCCGCAAUGGGCGAAAGCUUGACGGAGCAACGCCGCGUGAGUGAUGAAGGUCUUCGGAUCGUAAAACUCUGUUAUUAGGGAAGAACAAAUGUGUAAGUAACUAUGCACGUCUUGACGGUACCUAAUCAGAAAGCCACGGCUAACUACGUG